Molecule: long non-coding RNA, 1534 nt
Organism: Schistocerca americana (American grasshopper)
Lineage: Eukaryota; Metazoa; Arthropoda; Insecta; Orthoptera; Acrididae
Exons: 3
Source: RefSeq, a predicted model, not a curated record
GUAUUAAUAUUGUUUCAGAUUAUGUGUGCACGAUUGUGCAGUAUUUUUAAAGUACUUGAAAACAGAUCAUCGACAUAAAAUUGUGCAUUUUUCGAACCUUCGAAGGAAGAGUUCGUCAUAAGUCUCAUUAAACCAGAUUUAGUACGUUGCCAUAUUGUUUGCAUAGAGCGGCCCCUUGGCGUUCAGCAUCAUGACUCAAUGUUUCUGGAUUUGGCACUAUACUGAAACUGAGGGAUACUAACAUUUUGGUCCCUCCUGGCCAAAUUGAGAUGGAUUCAGUGAAGUAAAUUUAGUAGCAGCCACCCAUCAGUGGAAUGGCAGUGACAAGUUUCAACAAAGCAACAAGGAGGUGAUGCUAACAGCAUCAAUACAACGGUACCAUGGGUUUUGUCCAUAUGGCCUGUCUCUCAAGAUGGCUGACAGAAACCAAACGGAAGACUUGUGAGCUUUGUGGGAAAGAGUUCAAACUGAAGCACGAGCUUCGUUACAAUAAACUCAAAAGUAUCAUCAUUUGGAUUUUUUGCACCAAGGCUGCUGAUCGUGGAAUAGACACACUCACUUUGCUUGUACAAUUCUUUUAUGUAAUAUUUUUGGUUCCUUUUGUGUUGGUAUCAAUCUAUUACUGUGUUGUGUAUGGUGAAUACUUUAAUGUGGAAGAGACAGAUGGCAUUAUUGCUUUUCAAUGGCCAUCUAUGUCAGUGAGUGUAAUGGCAUUUGUUCUUGGUGCAUUCUUGUUUUGCUGUGUGUAUUUGACAAUAGACGAUCUAUUCUACUUUUGGUAUCUGUGGUGGCAACAUCAAACAGCUGUCGUAAUUCUGCCUGGGUGACAAUAUGAUGUAAUUUUCUAGUUGCUGAGACUAAACUAAACCUUUUACCUUGAACACAACUUCAGUUCCUUUGUUUAGUUACAUGGGUCCUGAAUGAGCUGUUGCAAAUGAUCUGCAUAAUAAUGUUCUUUUGUUGAAUGAACAUUACCUUGGAUAAAACUGUAGGAAAUAUGAGUGCAGCAUACACUCAGCUGCAGACAGAAAGAUUUGUUAUGUACUAUGGUCAAAACUGAAGCAGGACUUAAAGUAUGGCCAUCACACUUGUUAUGUGGUAGUCCAGUGUGAAAUUUGAAACAGUACAAUAGAUACAUAAAUGAACAUGACUGUUCAGUUUGGUGAGUUGAAUUUUAGCACUGUUGGCUGAAAUAAUGAAAACAUGAAAGUUUUAGAAGUUGAAGUAGUACUAACUCUCUUUGCACUACUGGCAGCGCAUGUUGCAUUCAUCAUCGUAGAAGGUGCCACUUCUUCCACAGCACAUUGCCAGUCCAUUCACAGGGUUUGUUAUUGACUGACUAACAGUCACUUUGUAUGUGACCCUGUUUGUGUGCCUCAGUUGUCAGUGUCAAAUAAUGAUGGGUAAGUAUAACAGCCAGUACCUAAAAAACUCGAUUAGUAGGUCAGUAAAGUGAUACGUUAUGCAGCAUUUAUAUGUGCUCAUGGAGGCUUCACUAAAUACUUUUCAUGUGUCAGUAAUACCAUUGUGUUGU